UUAUCAGACUUGUUACAAGGUUGUUCUAACAAGUCUGAUAGAGUCAUGAUAUACCAAGACGACACAAGGUUGUAACAAUAUUGCUAUAUCAUGACUGUAUCGGACUUGUUGGAACAACCUUGCAACAAGUCUGAUAA
This is a non-coding RNA of Paramuricea clavata, 137 nucleotides long. The record is from the annotation of a GenBank genome assembly. NCBI's taxonomy places the organism in Eukaryota, Metazoa, Cnidaria, Anthozoa, Malacalcyonacea, Plexauridae.